UGGGGAAUUUUGCACAAUGGGGGAAACCCUGAUGCAGCGACGCCGCGUGAUUUAGAAGGCCUUCGGGUUGUAAAAAUCUUUUCUAUGGGAAGAAAAUGACAGUACCAUAGGAAUAAGGACCGGCUAAUUACGUGCCAGCAGCCGCGGUAAUACGUAAGGUCCGAGCGUUGUCCGGAAUCAUUGGGCGUAAAGGGUACGUAGGCGGGUAAGCAAGUUAGAAGUGAAAUCCUAUAGCUCAACUAUAGUAAGCUUUUAAAACUGCUCAUCUUGAGGUAUGGAAGGGAAAGUGGAAUUCCUAGUGUAGCGGUGAAAUGCGCAGAUGUUAGGAGGAAUACCGGUGGCGAAGGCGACUUUCUGGCCAUAACCUGACGCUGAGGUACGAAAGCGUGGGUAGCAAACAGG
Molecule: ribosomal RNA, 402 nt
Filed under: bacterium
Lineage: Bacteria
Description: partial 16S ribosomal RNA
Rfam family: Bacterial small subunit ribosomal RNA
Source: RNAcentral